CAAUUUUCUCGACAUUUUUCGGUGUUACAGAUCAUUACCUCUCCGUACGCUAGCAACCCCUUCCCUCUUCUUUCUCGGUUUCAUUCUUCUUGAUUGAAAUCUCCUCCCUCUUCUUUGUUCUUGAUUUUUACCAUCUUCAUCAAUUCCACACACUAACAUGAUAUGAUUGAAUUAAUUCCAAAUUGUUUCACAGAAAUCUCACGGUAACAAAUACCCCAGAAGUUCAAAUCAAACCCAAAAUUUUGAGAGAGUUUGAAAAUUGGGAUGAACUGAUUGAAUUAAGUUUACAGUCAGAAAAGUUGGAAAUCCCAGUUUGGGGUUAGGGCUUCCCGUUUCAGUCAGGGUUUCCCAAGCUUUUCUCUCCAGUUCAAAGGGCUUCACGAUGCUCAUAGUCUUCUGCUAAAACCUCAAAUGGAGCAUGUUGCGUCAUAUUAGGGGUGCUUUUCUAUCCGCUACUCAUUCCAUAAUAAUGUACGAACACAGGGGAGUUUGAGACUGAUUGUUUUCUAUCCAUUGUUUUGUUAAUGGAACGUAAAAAGAAAAAAGAUGAAAAGCCUUGGGUGUCUACUCUCUUUGUUUGAUGACGAAAUGAGAAGAGUAUGUGGAAAAAUAGAUUAUUAGUGCAUGAAAAAAACCUAACAAAAGAUUAGUUGGGUAUUACAGAUUUUUGUUAGUUCAUCCCUUAAAUCUGAACAGCAAGAUGCUGGCCCAUGAAAUGUCUAACUUUGCAAGUGAAUUCAUUGGAGCUAGAACUACUACAAGGAAAGAAAUUAAUGAAUAUGUUGGCUGAAGUUGUAGGCUUGGUUACUGCAUUACAGUGGGCUAAAGGGCUUGACUUAGCCUGUUCAUACUGUGUGGUAUUGGAAAAACUAUGGGCGGAAACGUUGAGAAGUUCGAUUUUAUUUGGAGCGGAAGGGCAGGCACAUCGCGUGUGCGUGUUAUACUAGUACACAAUUAAAGAAAGGAAAACCCAUCAUUUCCUUUUCAAUUUUAGAUCUGAAAAUUUCAAUCUCUCUUCCUCCUCCUCUCCAGCCAUCACCUCCAUCAUCAUUGUUUUUCUCCACCCCGUUUCCGUCGGGAUUAAUGGUGUUGGUGGUGGAGGAUAUCAAAUAUGUACUAGUUGAUCCGUCGAAUUGAUUUUCCUUAUUAGAUUCAUAAAUCUCUGUUAUUUUUGUUGAUGAUAGUGGCGCUGCCUGUUGUGGAGAAUGUUAAAUAGUGGUUCCUUUACUUAACGAUAAUAGUGAUGACAGUGAAGGAGGGUAUCAAUCUUUGUUUUAUUAGUUGUUGAUGAUGGUAUGGCGGCGGUGGUGGUGAUGGAAGAAAAAUAUUAGUGAAGAUGUACCACUUUUGGGUGUGAAGAUCUGGAAACCGGUGAUUUCUGUAGUGUAAUGAGUUAGCUUACUAACAAGAGUAUAAUUAGUAUUUUCAUUCCUUGGGUUACAUGGGAUGAACACUAGUGGUGGUGCGAUUAAUCCUCCUCUUGUGACAUUCUUUUCUCAUUCAAAUGUUAAUCGAAUGUAUGAUUUUAAGACGGAGUUUUUCAUUUUAGAUCUUGUCCUAAUGGUUUGAUGUCUUUGUGCAUGCAAUAAUUGAUUAUCUUCUUUCUCUA
This is a long non-coding RNA of Papaver somniferum (opium poppy), 1609 nucleotides long. RefSeq lists it as uncharacterized. The transcript is spliced from 3 exons. NCBI's taxonomy places the organism in Eukaryota, Viridiplantae, Streptophyta, Magnoliopsida, Ranunculales, Papaveraceae. The record is from RefSeq and is a predicted model, not a curated record.